UCAGACUCAUAGAGCAAAUUACUUAAAAAGAGGACUCUCCCCCCACCAAAAUCAGACCACACCUAAUUUUCAAAGUCUCUAACAUCCACAAUAUUUAGGGGGUAAAAAAAUCUACCAACUAAUUUUCUAGUCAUUUUCCAACUUGCACUUACCUCCUACUAUAGAUUUUUGAGGGUCUCCACUUUCCUGAAGAUUAAAAGAAAAAGACUUGUUGUCAGCCUUGACCCUCAAAACAAAUAAAUUCACGAACUACAAAACGUGAACCUGGCCACGCUCAUCUCAGACUAACACAUCUCUCAACCCAAGUCCAUAUUUGGGAUAAGCUCUUCGUGACUACUUUAUCCUUCAUGCUUCUUCGCCCACAGAGCCUGCCGGGGUACAAAACAGUCAAACCAACGAAAAAACUACCCUCACACAUCAAGAGGUUGCAAGAACUCCUCUUCUAUGAGGAGCAACCUGGUUGUUUGAGUAAAUAACGGCCAAGGAUUACAUAAUAUACAGCUACGAAGACUUUCAAGGAUCUGGCCGCCAAUAUAUAUCUUUCUUCUCCGCGUCCUCCGUUCCCACCCUGAGAAACGGCCCUAAGAAGAAGCAAGCCCUAGGAUUUCUCUCAGGUGCCUGCAAUGCCGCGCGUUCUCUUCUCUCUCGGAGCUCCGUGCAAGGAAUUCUUCCAGCCCUCACGACGCCGUCUUACUCCGGCCUCUCUCCCGUCUCCGCCGGCGCCACCGCAGCCCCCCACGCCUGAGGCCCCUACGUCGCCCCGCAGGGCUCAGCCUCCACCCGCCUCGGCUGCCUUCUCCUCACGACCCUCCCAAGCUGCUAGCUGGUCUAGAGGUUCCGAAACCACCAACACCCAACGCUCCGGCUACCGCCUUCCCAGACCACCCUCGGCAGAUCCCCUCUAUAGUUCCUGUAGCCGGAGAAGAAGAAAAUCCCUCCUAUCUGGCACUCCGCGUCCCCCAGAGACAGCGCCGCCGCCUACCUGUCACCCCUCUGCCUCCGGCUUCUUACCGCCACCGCCACCGCCUCCCGCAGCAGCCUGCCAACUGCAGCGCAACAACUGGCCCUCCCAUUGGGUGAUUCCACGCUCCAACAACAGCACCGCUGAUUGGCAGCAGUAUGCCCGCGGCCCUCCCCCUGUGCAAAGUCUAAAGAUUCCGGUCUCCGAGGAAGAACCACGUCGCCUUUUCCCCGCCCUGUGUUCUCCACAGUUUCUCUUACCUCGGUCAGACUCCGGAUGCACAGAUGUGCGGGGAAAAUGUCCACUUCCAGCCUCCUUCAUGUCACCUCCACCUGGUCCAGGAAUCUGUGACCCAGGACCAGAAUGUUAAAUUUCUUCUCUGCUUUCCUGCCGUAAGGUACUCGAGGUGACAACUUCCGUUUCCGGUUGCCUCCGGCUGGUGGGGUGAAUCUUGAGUGUCCUGAGAGGUCAGAUUGCUGUCAGGGAAAGAUGCCAACGCUGUUCCUGUACUAGAGCCAGCUCCCGUUAGUGGAGGUUGAUAUCCAACAAACUUGUAGGUUCACUCCAAACAUAGAGCCUAAAAUAUUUACUAUGUGGCUCUUUACAGAAAACGUUCAUGUAAACGUUCAUACUGCAUUUUUAAAGAAUCAUCUGAAGAAAGCACGUAACAAAAC
Molecule: RNA transcript, 1635 nt
Organism: Physeter macrocephalus (sperm whale)
Lineage: Eukaryota; Metazoa; Chordata; Mammalia; Artiodactyla; Physeteridae
Gene: NDUFB3
Gene name: NADH:ubiquinone oxidoreductase subunit B3
Exons: 3
Source: RefSeq, a predicted model, not a curated record